AAAUAAUGAAGUUUGAUUUGGCUAGGUAUGAAGAUCAAUUAAAAAGUCAAAGAUUAUUGGCGGUGUUUUGUUAAAUUCUGAGAAUCUUGCUAAAUUAAAAUGAUAUUACACAGUUUAUCUUAUCUUAGUUAAUUGGUUUAUAUAUUGCUGUUUAAUUUAUUAUUUGCUAUAAAUUUUGAAUAAAUUUGAUUUGUUUUAGGCAGAAAAUUCAAGUCAAAAUGUAGUAAUAUUAAGGUUUUAGUGAGUUGCUUUUUUCUAGAGAGGGAGUGUUUUAUGAAAUUAUUUUUUGAGGAUUAGGUAGUAAAAAGAAAGUAGUUAGUUCUUUUGAUAAAACUUUCCUCAUGU
This 345-nucleotide ribosomal RNA is filed under the name Stenochrus portoricensis. Its description in RNAcentral is "partial small subunit ribosomal RNA". Lineage: Eukaryota; Metazoa; Arthropoda; Arachnida; Schizomida; Hubbardiidae. The record is from RNAcentral.